This is a long non-coding RNA of Cydia splendana, 1111 nucleotides long. RefSeq lists it as uncharacterized. Lineage: Eukaryota; Metazoa; Arthropoda; Insecta; Lepidoptera; Tortricidae. The transcript has 2 exons. The record is from RefSeq and is a predicted model, not a curated record.
CUUUCACCUUAAUGGGUAAAUGCUUAGUAACAUGUUAGUCUGCUAAUAACUCUAAUAAGUAAUACAUACAAUUAUUUAUUUUCUUUACAAAUAUUAUAAUGAUGUGCUAACAUUAAGCAUUUAUCUUAUCGAAUAUGUUGUUAAAGUUUAUUUUAAAAUCCUAAUUUGUUUUAUAAUAAUUUAUAAGUACAGACUUAUUGUAUCAGCUUGCACAAUUAAAUGUCAAAAGCAUUGUACAGAUGUAGUGUCUAAUUAUUUUCCAUAGUGUUGUGAAUAACGCUCACUUCGAGACUUAAAGACUCGAACCCUUAAGACUCUCGAGGCUUAACGCUUCAAGGGCAGCAAAGACGAUUUCUUACAUCCAUACGCGUAAAAUAAAAAAAUAUAUAGUCGAGUCUUCAAGACUUACGAGUCUUGAGUAGUGAUCCAAAGGACUCGAGCCUUUUAGCUCUUUUUUUAGGGCUCGCCUCAUUUCUUGACGCCUAAAAGGCUAAAAGCCUAUUUAGCUCUUUAGCCCCUGAGCCUAGUUCUAUUUAAGAUCCUAGACUCUUGGAGCUAAGAACCUUAUUAAGGCUUGGGGCUAAAGAGCUAAAUAGGCUUUUUUUAGGGGCUUAAUAAGGUUAUUAGCCCCAAGAGCUUUUAGCCUUUUAGGCGUCAAGAGAUGAGGUGAGCCCUAAAAAAUAGAGCUCCAAAGGCUCGAGUCUUUUGGAUCACUAGUCUUGAGGGCUCGAGUUUUUAAGCCUAAAAAUAAGCGUUAUUCACAACACUAAUUUUCCAUCGUAUUUUCACGGAAACGUACGAACGAACGUAACUAACUAUUUCAGUCAGUCUCGGUACAAAAAGUACUGAUGUGAGUUUGAUUGUUUUGUUUGACAAAUACGAACGUUUCCGAGAAAAUACCGAUGGCAAAGGAUUGCUCACAUCUGUAAUUACGUAUUUACAGAAAAGUAAUUUAUAGAAUUUGAUCUUUUGGAGUUUAAAACGUAUUUAGAUUGUUAGAUGAGGUGGUUUUGAAGUAUUUUCUAAUUCUACUACAUUCCUAUUUAUAGAUAAAAUGGUUCACUGUGUAAAAGAAACUUAUUUAUAAUUGAAAAUAAAUUUAAUUCUUGAA